This 232-nucleotide ribosomal RNA is filed under the name uncultured bacterium. Its description in RNAcentral is "partial 16S ribosomal RNA". It matches the Rfam family "Bacterial small subunit ribosomal RNA", at positions 99 to 334 of the family's 1533-position model. The record is from RNAcentral.
CGGACGGGUGAGUAAUGCUUGGGAAUCUGGCUUAUGGAGGGGGAUAACUACGGGAAACUGUAGCUAAUACCGCGUAAUAUCUUCGGAUUAAAGGGUGGGACUUUCGGGCCACCUGCCAUAAGAUGAGCCCAAGUGGGAUUAGGUAGUUGGUUAGGUAAAGGCUGACCAAGCCGACGAUCUCUAGCUGGUCUGAGAGGAUGACCAGCCACACUGGAACUGAGACACGGUCCAG